Molecule: ribosomal RNA, 984 nt
Filed under: Triticum aestivum (bread wheat)
Lineage: Eukaryota; Viridiplantae; Streptophyta; Magnoliopsida; Poales; Poaceae
Description: partial small subunit ribosomal RNA
Source: RNAcentral
AUGGACCCUGGCGGGGGCAGCCCGGGCGCCGGCAGCUCGCGCUACUUCCACCACCUGCUCCGCCCGCAGCAGCAGCAGCAGCCCUCGCCGCUCUCGCCCAACUCCCACGUCAAGAUGGAGCACUCCAAGAUGUCGUCGCCCGACAAGACCCCCGUGGGCGACGCGGACGCCGGCGGGAGCGGCGGCGGCGCUGGCGCUGACCAGCCGUCGUCGUCUGCCAUGGUCCCGGUCGACGGUAGCAGCGGAGGAGGCGGCAGCGGCGGCUCGGGCGGGCCCACCCGCCGUCCGCGCGGCCGACCCGCGGGGUCCAAGAACAAGCCCAAGCCGCCCAUCAUCGUGACGCGCGACAGCCCCAACGCGCUGCACUCGCACGUCCUCGAGGUCUCCGCGGGGGCCGAUAUCGUCGACUGCGUCUCCGAGUACGCGCGCCGCCGCGGCCGUGGCGUCUGUGUGCUGAGCGGCGGCGGCGCCGUCGUCAACGUGGCGCUCCGCCAGCCGGGUGCGUCGCCCCCGGGCAGCGUGGUGGCCACGCUCCGGGGCCGGUUCGAGAUCCUCUCGCUCACCGGCACGGUGCUGCCGCCGCCCGCGCCCCCUGGCGCCAGUGGCCUCACCGUGUUCCUCUCCGGCGGGCAGGGCCAGGUGAUCGGCGGUAGCGUGGUGGGAACUCUGGUCGCCGCGGGGCCCGUCGUCCUGAUGGCCGCGUCGUUCUCGAACGCCGUGUACGAGCGGCUCCCGCUGGAGGGGGAGGAAGAGGAGGUGGCAGCCGCCGCCGCUGGAGCGGAAGCGCAAGAUCAAGUGGCACAGUCAGGCGGGCCACCAGGGCAGCAGCCGGCGGCAUCGCAGUCCUCCGGCGUGACCGGAGGCGAUGCUGGCGGCAUGUCGCUCUACAACCUUGCCGGCGGGAAUGUGGGGAACUACCAGCUUCCCGGAGAUAACUUUGGAGCCUGGGGUGGCGGCGGUGGCGGAGUCAGGCCACCGUUCUGA